Molecule: long non-coding RNA, 203 nt
Filed under: Elaeis guineensis (African oil palm)
Lineage: Eukaryota; Viridiplantae; Streptophyta; Magnoliopsida; Arecales; Arecaceae
Description: long non-coding RNA (EGUI_LNC080795)
Source: RNAcentral
GGGACCCCUCAGAUACGUUCUUCUCUAAGCUCUAAACUCUAUCUCGAAAGUCUACCAAAAUUUUAUUUGAGCACUCCAUUUUUGUUGAAGCAGAGUACUGACUUGAGCAUCGGAGGGUCAUGCUGGAGCACCCUCAACUCCGGUUUAGACUUCCCUUGUAGGUCCCGAUGGCAGCCACGGUCAUCUCAACUCUAGCUUCUCCG